This 76-nucleotide transfer RNA is filed under the name Rickettsiales bacterium. Its description in RNAcentral is "tRNA-Ala". It matches the Rfam family "tRNA". Rfam says of the family: Transfer RNA (tRNA) molecules are approximately 80 nucleotides in length. Their secondary structure includes four short double-helical elements and three loops (D, anti-codon, and T loops). The record is from RNAcentral. Lineage: Bacteria; Pseudomonadati; Pseudomonadota; Alphaproteobacteria; Rickettsiales.
GGGGAUAUAGCUCAGUUGGUAGAGCGCUUGCAUGGCAUGCAAGAGGUCGUCGGUUCGAGCCCGAUUAUCUCCACCA